This 745-nucleotide ribosomal RNA is filed under the name uncultured bacterium. RNAcentral's name for it is "bacterial SSU rRNA". It matches the Rfam family "Bacterial small subunit ribosomal RNA", at positions 8 to 748 of the family's 1533-position model. The record is from RNAcentral.
AGAGUUUGAUCAUGGCUCAGGAUGAACGCUGGCGGCGUGCCUAAUACAUGCAAGCCGAGCGAGGUUCUUCGGAACCUAGCGGCGGACGGGUGAGUAACACGUGGGUAACCUGCCUGUAAGACUGGGAUAACUUCGGGAAACCGAAGCUAAUACCGGAUAAUUCCGAGCAUCGCAUGAUGCUUGAUGGAAAGGCGGCUUCGGCUGUCACUUACAGAUGGACCCGCGUCGCAUUAGCUAGUUGGUGAGGUAACGGCUCACCAAGGCGACGAUGCGUAGCCGACCUGAGAGGGUGAUCGGCCACACUGGGACUGAGACACGGCCCAGACUCCUACGGGAGGCAGCAGUAGGGAAUCUUCGGCAAUGGGCGAAAGCCUGACCGAGCAACGCCGCGUGAGCGAUGAAGGCCUUCGGGUCGUAAAGCUCUGUUGUUAAGGAAGAACAAGUACGAGAGUAACUGCUCGUACCUUGACGGUACUUAACGAGAAAGCCACGGCUAACUACGUGCCAGCAGCCGCGGUAAUACGUAGGUGGCGAGCGUUAUCCGGAAUUAUUGGGCGUAAAGCGCGCGCAGGCGGUUUCUUAAGUCUGAUGUGAAAGCCCACGGCUCAACCGUGGAGGGUCAUUGGAAACUGGGAAACUUGAGUGCAGAAGAGGAAUGCGGAAUUCCACGUGUAGCGGUGAAAUGCGUAGAGAUGUGGAGGAACACCAGUGGCGAAGGCGGCUUUCUGGUCUGUAACUGACGCUG